This is a non-coding RNA of Streptomyces sp. Tu6071, 104 nucleotides long. NCBI's taxonomy places the organism in Bacteria, Bacillati, Actinomycetota, Actinomycetes, Kitasatosporales, Streptomycetaceae. The record is from Rfam.
UGAAUCCGCGCGGGAGAGUCCCGGGAGCCGCACAGCCGCUCCGGGGCGCCGAAGGAGCAAGUCCCUCCCUUGAAUCUCUCAGGCCCCGAUACCGCGCGGGCGAG